RNAcentral lists this ribosomal RNA (442 nucleotides) under uncultured bacterium. RNAcentral describes it as "partial 16S ribosomal RNA". It matches the Rfam family "Bacterial small subunit ribosomal RNA", at positions 338 to 795 of the family's 1533-position model. The record is from RNAcentral.
CCUACGGGAGGCAGCAGUGGGGAAUAUUGGGCAAUGGGCGCAAGCCUGACCCAGCAACGCCGCGUGAAGGAAGAAGGCUUUCGGGUUGUAAACUUCUUUUGUCAGGGAAGAGUAGAAGACGGUACCUGACGAAUAAGCCACGGCUAACUACAUGCCAGCAGCCGCGGUAAUACGUAGGUGGCAAGCGUUGUCCGGAUUUACUGGGUGUAAAGGGCGUGUAGCCGGGUUAACAAGUCAGAUGUGAAAUCCUGCGGCUUAACCGGAGAACUGCAUUUGAAACUGUUGAUCUUGAGUACUGGAGAGGCAGACGGAAUUCCUAGUGUAGCGGUGAAAUGCGUAGAUAUUAGGAGGAACACCAGUGGCGAAGGCGGUCUGCUGGACAGCAACUGACGGUGAGGCGCGAAAGCGUGGGGAGCAAACAGGAUUAGAUACCCCAGUAGUC